RNAcentral lists this ribosomal RNA (468 nucleotides) under uncultured bacterium. Its description in RNAcentral is "partial 16S ribosomal RNA". It matches the Rfam family "Bacterial small subunit ribosomal RNA", at positions 28 to 507 of the family's 1533-position model. The record is from RNAcentral.
GACGAACGCUGGCGGCGUGCUUAACACAUGCAAGUCGAACGGAAAGGCCCUGCUUUUGUGGGGUGCUCGAGUGGCGAACGGGUGAGUAGCACGUGAGUAACCUGCCCUUGACUUUGGGAUAACUUCAGGAAACUGGGGCUAAUACCGGAUAGGAGCUCCUGCUGCAUGGUGGGGGUUGGAAAGUUUCGGCGGUUGGGGAUGGACUCGCGGCUUAUCAGCUUGUUGGUGGGGUAGUGGCUUACCAAGGCUUUGACGGGUAGCCGGCCUGAGAGGGUGACCGGACAAAUUGGGACUGAGAUACGGCCCAGACUCCUACGGGAGGCAGCAGUGGAGAAUAUUGCACAAUGGGCGGAAGCCUGAUGCAGCAACGCCGCGUGCGGGAUGACGGCCUUCGGGUUGUAAACCGCUUUCGCCUGUGACGAAGCGUGAGUGACGGUAAUGGGUAAAGAAGCACCGGCUAACUACGUG